GUCAGACUCCGGGGCGGUGCGGCAGCGCCAGGCCUGCAGUGCUAAGCGCGGGGUCCCUCGGGGCCCCGAGGGGGUGUGUCUCCUGCCUCUUUAACCUGGCAGGGGCGGUUCAAGUGGCCGGGAAAAUCAGCGAUUUGCAGAGUGGAGGGCUGGUGUUUUGAAAGAGAGGCGGAGGGGAGAGAGGGAUUUCCCCAUCCCCGCUGCACUGGGUCCAUCCCCUCGGUUACUCCUUUUCUCCGCCCGCGAGGCCCGUAACCUGCUGGAACCGUUAUGCAGUAGAGGCGGCCCGGUCCCUUUAAGACCCCGCCGCGCCUGCGCCUUGGGUUCUCCUGACUCCGCCGAGCCUGAUCCUGAGGAGCCAGUCGCGGGCUGGCGCGGGCGCGGGGCUGGCUGGCGGUUGAGACCGCGGCGGUACUGGGAGUGGUUGGUGAGGGUCGCGAGGCUGCCUGAGCUUCUGAGUGAGCAUGGCGCUUUUGGAACGCGGGACUGGCGACCUGCUGCGCCAGGAGCUGGGCCGAGGCGCGGCGGCGCGGCUGCUGGCUGCCCUCUGGAUGGGAAGUUACCGCGAAGUCCAACCCAGCCUUUCCGAGAUCAUCUCAUUUGGCUUCCUUUCACUGAAGAGUUAACCAGGACGUUUGACAUGGUUUCCUCGCUUUCCUCCUGUCUUUUGCUGCUAGAGCUGCUUUGGAAAAGAAGUCUUUUCUCAAGUGGUAUCUUUUCUUUGGGUUACAGUGUUGUUCAUCCUUUCUUUGCCGAAAGAAUGAAUCCCAGUGCUUCACGAAGUUAAAGAAAGAUCUGCUGGUAGUGUUUAAUCUUUGUUCGGAGCUGAUGUGCGUUAGUAGCUUUCUGUUUUUAAAUUUUAUUAGUAAAAUUUCACCAGUGAAGCAGAAGCUAUUUUUUUCUAUUCUGAAAUGCUAGCUUUAAGAUUUCUGAGAACUUUGUGUCAAAGAAAUCUUUGAAAAGGUACUGAAGUAUACAGAAGAAGUUGACUAUUUUAAAAGUGCAGGUGGUCCGGGCGCAGUAGAGCACACCGUAAUCCCAGCACUUUGGGACGCCAGGGUGGGUAGAUCACUUGAGCCUAGGAUUCCCAGACCAGCCUGGGCAAUGUGGCAAAACCCUGUCUCUACUAAAAAUACAAAAGUUAGCUGUGUGUGGUGGUGUGUGCCUGUAGUCCCAGCUACCCAGUAGGCUGAGGUGGGAGGAUCACCAGAGCCCGGGAGGCUGAGAUUACAGUGAGCCAUGAUCAUGGCAUUGCACUCCCACCUGGAUGGCAGAGUGAGACCCUGUCUCAAAAAAAAAAAAAAAAAAAAAAAAAGUAAUUUUUACCGUGACACCACAGUUCAAGAAAUAGAACAGUACUAGACUGGGGUAUAUUUAUAGGAGUGGCAUUGUUGGUUUUAGAGGUAUAUGAAUGAUAAAACUUUAGUAUUACAUAUUGUUGAACAUUUUCCCAAAGUGGUUGUACCAUUUGGCAGGGAUAUUCUGGUUACCCCAUGUCCUUGCUGAUGCCUGUCAGUUAAAAAUUAUUUUGCCAUUCUAGUAGGGGUGCAGUAAUGUAUCAGUGUGGUUUAAUUGAUUAUCUUUUAUUGCCAUUUUUAUGCCCUCUUUUGUGAAGUGCCUAUUAAAUCUUUUUAUCCACUUUUCAUUGACUUGCUUGUUUUUCUGUUGAUUUGUAAUACUUUAUUCUGGAUAUACAUCCUUUCUAGGAUAUAUAUGUAUUGCAUUUCCCUUUUUUCAAUCUGUAACUUGCCUUUUUACUCUUUUAAUGGUGUUUUUUCAUGAAUGGAGAUUCUCUAACUUUUUUUUUUUUCUUUUUGAGACAGGGUCUCACUCUGUUGCCCAGGCUGGAGUGCAGUGGCACAAUCUCAGCUUACCACUACAUUGACCUCCCAAGGCUUAGGUGAUGCUUCUGCCUCAGCCCAGAAGUAGCUGGGACCUCCAGGGGAGCACCACCACACUCAGCUCUUUUCUGUAUUUUUAGUAGAGAUGGAGUUUUGCCACGUCGCAUAGGCUGGUCUGGAAUUCCUAGGCUCACGUGAUAUACCUGCCUCGGCCUCCCAAAGUGUUGGGAUUACUGGCAUGAGCCACUGCACCCGGCCUGAGAUUCUUAAUUUUAAUGAAAUUAUACUUUAUCAAUCUUUUCCUUGAUGGUUACUACUUUUUGUGUCCUGUUUAAGAAAUCAACGCCUAACCUAAGAGUAUGAACACAUUUUUGUGUGUU
This 2221-nucleotide long non-coding RNA is filed under the name Macaca mulatta (Rhesus monkey). RNAcentral's name for it is "lncRNA (ENSMMUG00000047409.2)". Lineage: Eukaryota; Metazoa; Chordata; Mammalia; Primates; Cercopithecidae. The record is from RNAcentral.